GGAUUGUGGCUCAGUGGUAGAGCGAUUCCAUAGCACUGGCGGGACCUGGGUUCGAUUCUCAGCACCA
This 67-nucleotide transfer RNA is filed under the name Marmota monax (woodchuck). RNAcentral describes it as "tRNA.Undet". Lineage: Eukaryota; Metazoa; Chordata; Mammalia; Rodentia; Sciuridae. The record is from RNAcentral.